CCCGCUGAACUUAAGCAUAUCAAUAAGCGGAGGAAAAGAAACCAACAGGGAUUGCCUUAGUAACGGCGAGUGAAGCGGCAAAAGCUCAAAUUUGAAAUCUGGCUUCCUAUAUUGGGGCCCGAGUUGUAAUUUGGAGAGGAUGCUUUGGGUGUGGUCGCGGUCUAAGUCCCCUGGAACGGGGCAUCAUAGAGGGUGAGAAUCCCGUCUGGGACCGCUGGCCCCGCCCGUGUAAAGCUCCUUCGACGAGUCGAGUUGUUUGGGAAUGCAGCUCUAAAUGGGUGGUAAAUUUCAUCUAAAGCUAAAUAUUGGCCGGAGACCGAUAGCGCACAAGUAGAGUGAUCGAAAGAUGAAAAGCACUUCGAAAAGAGAGUUAAACAGCAUGUGAAAUUGUUGAAAGGGAAGCGCUUGCGACCAGACUCGUCCGCGGAGGCUCAGCCGCCAUGCUUUGGCGGUGCACUCCUUCGUGGUCGGGCCAGCGUCGGUUCUGACGGUUGGUUAAAGACUCUCGGAAUGUGUCGUCUCUCGGGGCGUCUUAUAGCCGGGGGUGCAAUGCGGCCUGUCGGGACCGAGGAACGCGCUUCGGCACGGACGCUGGCGUAAUGGUCGUAAGCGACCCGUCUUGAAACACGG
This 630-nucleotide ribosomal RNA is filed under the name uncultured fungus. RNAcentral describes it as "eukaryotic LSU rRNA". It matches the Rfam family "Eukaryotic large subunit ribosomal RNA", at positions 24 to 664 of the family's 3401-position model. Lineage: Eukaryota; Fungi. The record is from RNAcentral.